This is a long non-coding RNA of Musa acuminata AAA Group (dessert banana), 897 nucleotides long. RefSeq lists it as uncharacterized. Lineage: Eukaryota; Viridiplantae; Streptophyta; Magnoliopsida; Zingiberales; Musaceae. The record is from RefSeq and is a predicted model, not a curated record. The transcript has 2 exons.
AUCAGUGGAAAUGGUGAGAAUUGAAGCCAAUUAAAUUAGGUCAUGAGUGGGUCACCAACCCAACACCGAUCAUCCGGUUUUGGAUGGAGUCAACUUAGGUUAUGUCAUCCGAGGGCAUUUUAGUCAUAUCGUGCAUGUCAAUUCGGUCAACCCUCGAUUCUAUACCCUACCCUUAAACGCACCCUUCCCGUGGCCGGAUUCAUUUGCGGGCCCCAGCGCUGGCUUCAAUCGUAAGUACGGUGCGUCGGAAAAGCAAUCUUAUGUUUUUGUUUUGGGGAAGAGAAGUCAACCGAGAACUCGUCGAAGACCAAAUGGAUUGGCCUCUUCCUUCUAAACUUAGCUCGUGCCUUGCCAUUUCGCACCCUUCUCUUCCUUGUUUCCUCUCCCUCGCGAAUUCAUAUACCUCCACAUUCCUCCUCCAUCCUCUCGAAGGCAGAAGAGACAGGAAAAGCCGUAGGCAGAGGAAGAAGAAGAUGGAGAGCUCCAACUGCAUGGGACUCGUGGCGGUCGUCGCCGUCUCCGGCAGCAUCGCGCUCGUCGCCCUCCAGGUCCACCGGCGCCUCGCCUCGGACUUCAUCAAGAAGGUCGAGUCGGAAAUCGGUCGUGAAAGAAACCAGCCAAGGAAGAAGGUGAGGUUCGCCCCCAACGUGAUCGAGCCGUCGUCGAACAACGAGGAGUACCGGAGGCGCAAGAAGACGGCGUUGUCUCCGCCAACCAAUCGAUGACACGAAAGAAAGAAGGCAACUUGUUUGUCUUAGUUUGUUCUGCAUCUGCAACCUUCAGGUGUCUGUCGAUCCAACUACACCAUACAUGCUUGGAUUUUGUCUCAGUUGUCAGGUUCAUAGAGAAAGAAGGAAUGGUUUACAUAUCUCUCUACCGAUGAUGGCAAUUCAUCAA